CAGUGUUCAUGCAAACGAGAUUGUCUAUAUCACAGAAACUUAUUAUAGUUCAUUCAAAACUGAUUAUGCUAGGUUUAAAGUUUAUCAAACUAAUGUGGCCUUAUAGUUGUUAUUAAAAUUACCAAUAAAAAAGAGUACACAAAAAUGUCUAUGGUCUAGUUCAAAAAGAUCAUUAGCUUCUCUUGCUUAACCAUAAAAUCUACACAGAGUUUUAUUUUGAAUGAUUGUUUUUUAUAUAUAAUCUACAUCUUAUAUAUAUGGUUUAAAGCCAAGGAUUGACGUCCUGGCCAUAAUCAUUAAUGAAACUGCUUUCAUGUUGCCAUUAUAGCGAUAUGGCUGGUCUGGUGAGGAAUGAGGAUACACCAUGUGGGGUCAACCCCAGAGACAGAAACCAAAUCCAACCAUAGUUAUCAUUGAGAUCUCCUUAAUUAGAUAUUGUAGAUGUUUAAAAAUGACAAUAAUAUCCGGUUUUCUUACAUACAGUUCCGGUAUCAAAAUAAAUAUUCUCUCGUUUUUAUUAGAAGAUGUUUUAAAAUUAUGCAUAUCAAUUAAGAGAACACUAGGUGAUAACCCGCGCCCUGCACGGAAUAAAUAGAUUUCAAAAUAUUAACACUUUUAAUUUGUAGACAUAAUAAAAGUUAAAGUCAUAGCAAAAAAAUACUAUAUGUUAUAAAGUAAGGGUUAGACAAAAUUUAAUAUGGCAAUCUAAAUUAAGCUGCGAAAAUUUUGUUUAAAAAUUGUAUAUUUGUUUGCAUAAAAUAAAUUAAAAAUAUAAAAUAAAACGAAACAUAAACAAUAGACUAAUAAAAUAUAAAAGAAACAAUGUCUUGAAUGGUUUCAAAUCGGAAACAGAGUUAAAGCCAACCGUUUGAUUGCUUGAGAGAAUGUUUUGAUAUGAGCAAAGUCGAGAAGAAAUGUGUGGUGAGUUUUCUGAAUUAUAGAAGCCGUAUAUUUAUACUAAAAAGGAAUAGCCGUGUGGUCAUAUGGAUUCGAAAUAAUGGUCGUAACUAAAUCGAAUAUUACACAUAACUUGCGCUCCAAUCUUAGUCAAGAAUUACUUUAAUAUUGUAAAUAGUUAAAGCAAACUUCCUUUUAUCAAUCGCAAUUGAACAAAUUCAAGAAAGUUCAUGAUUAUUAAUUGAUUACAAUAAUUUGAACCUUAAUCUACGUUCCUUAUAUACAAAAGUCAAGUCCUCGCAAAUCACGUAUUAUUACCAUCAGUUUACCAAAUUUGUAAUUUAAAAAUAUGUUAAAAGUUAUUAGAAGUUUCCUUUUUCCCAAUCAUCAAUCAAUUUCGUUCUUGCAAAUAACUUUUGAAUCAUGGGCAAUUUGCUCCGCCAUUAUUUGCAUUAUGCAAGUUGGCGUUAAAAUCUUAAUUACGAUAGAUCACCUAAGGUAAGUUUUUAUAUGUGUAUGCCAGAAAAUCGUAUUGUACCUUAGUUUCUACAAUCGCAAUGCGGAGAUCAUCUAACAAUUUAGUGAAACGGGGCAAGUAUAUGUCAUAUGCAUGGUUCUUCUGUUUCACUAUUUUAAGAAAAAAAGUUUUUUUCUUGAUAUAUUUUUAAGAGAACAAAUAUUUUUUCGCAUUUUUAAGAAAAUCAAUCACUUGAGCAUGUAUUGAUCAUCAAAUAAUUUUUAGGAUUUUUCAGAAAACAAACUUUGGUUGAUAAUUGCACAUUAAUUUUUCGCAUCUAUAUUCAUUUUGAAUAAAAAAAAUUAGACCACUACGUAUGUCAGUAAUGUUUUUGUAUUGAAACAAAUUAAUGAAAAAACUUCAGUCAAGGUAAUUAACAUAAUUUUAAAAUCUUUGAUGUAAUACGUAGAACUUCGGUUAAGGUAACUAACGCAAAAAAUAAAUGAUAAGGUUUGAUGUAAUACAUAUCAACGUAUAUAUGUGACAAAUGUAGACAAAACAAAGGUAAUUAUAAUGUUUUGAUCAAUGGCAUGUUGUGUAAUUACUCUAGUUAACAAAGGGGUUUUAAAUAGAAUAGGUGAGAGAGCUUGUGGAGUUGCCACGUAAAAAAUGGCACACUUGUAAUAAACACAUGAACUAAAGGUUAUUUAUUUUUAAUGCUCCUCAAAUAAUAAGAAAGGGAUGUCUGGGAUUAGUCUAUGGGUGCCUACUGUUUUUUUUUUUUGAGUUUUAGUCGCCGGCCAGUUUGAUCUAGAAUUGUAAGAAUACUUUUGAUUGACAAGCGUUAAAAACAAAACUUAAGAGAACAUGUAGUAAAAAAUAUUUUUAAACAAAAGCAUCACUAAUUUAUCUACAUAAGUGUGGAAACAUUGUAGCCUACUCACUACAAGAAAACACACCGAAUUCCGACGGAGAUUUCGACGGACGCCAAAGGCGUCGGACAAUUUGGACGGAAUUCCGACCGAUUUCCGACGAAAACAAAAAAUCUGAAAUCGUCGGAAUUCCGUCGGCUAAUUCCGACGAAUUUCCGAGAAAACAAUGUUCGUCGGAAUAUUCCGACGACUUUUCGACGACAUUCCGAUAAACAAUAUAACCGUUGUAGUCGUCGAAAAGUCGUCAGAAUAUUCCGUCGAAUUUCCGACGAUAUUCCGAUUAAAAGAUAUAACCGUUAUGGUCGUCGGUAUUCCGUCGGAAUUUUCCGACGAAUUUCUGACGAACCAAGUGACCGUUGCCGACAAAUAUAUAUGACUGUUUUAUAGCCGUUUGAGAUUGGAAAAUACCGACGGAAUGCUUUAUAUCUGUCGGUAUUCCGUCGGAAAGUCGUCGGAUGUCCGUAAGCAAUUUCCUAUAAAUGCAACCCCUCCUCAUUCAACUCAUUCACACCUCAUUCUCUCUUCUUUCUCUUUAGUCAUAACAAUUCCAUGAAAAUCAUGUCUUCAGGAGCUUAUUAUCGUUCGUGGAUGGAUAAACCUCAUUUGGAUCCCAACACCAAUUUGCUUACGGAAGAAUACGUUCAAGGGAUUGGAGAAUUCAUGAGGCUUGUUCAACAGCAACCGGAUGCAAAAAGUGGUAUGUUAAGAUGUCCCUGCUCUACUUGCAAUAAUAAUAAGGUUAUAAAAGAAUUUUAUGUUUGGACUCAUUUGUAUAUGAAAGGGUUUUCACGUAAUUAUAAAGUUUGGUACCUUCAUGGGGAAACUGGUUAUGAAUAUGGUAGUACUAGCGAACUUCAGCCUGUUAGUGAACUUCAGCCUGAUAUUAGGUUAGAAGAACCUAGAACGGAUAUAGAUUAUGGUGUAGGUACUGAGCAGAUGGUACAUGAUCAUUAUAGAGGGGAAGAACCAAAUCCCGAAUCUAGGAGAUUUUUUGAUAUGUUAGAUGCAGGAAAACAACCUUUGUAUCAAAAUUGUAGAGAUGGUCAUUCAGUCUUAUCAUCUGCAACUAGAUUAAUGUGUAUUAAGACAUACUAUAAUUUGGCUGAAAAAUGUAUGGAUGCGACAACUGAUUUUGUCAAAGGUAUUCUACCUGAGGAUAACCUUGCAUCGGGUUCAUACUACGAGGUUCAGAAACUUGUAGCCGGUCUUCAACUACCGUACGAAGUGAUAGAUGUAUGUAUUGACAACUGCAUGAUCUAUUGGAGAGCGGAUGAGACACGAAAUGUAUGCAAAUUUUGUGGGAAACCUCGUUAUCAGGAGACGAGGGGAAGAGUUCCGAUCCCGUUCAAAAGAAUGUGGUAUUUGCCUUUGACGGAAAGAUUGAAGAGGUUGUAUCAGUGUGAGCGCACAGCAAAAGCAAUGAGAUGGCAUACAGAGCAUUCCACAAAUGGUGAGAUUAGACAUCCUUCAGAUGCGAAGGCUUGGAAACAUUUCCAGUCAACAUAUCCAGAAUUUGCGGAAGAGAGAAGAAAUGUUUAUCUUGGAUUAUCUACUGAUGGUUUCAGCCUGUUUGGAAAGCAUGGAAGACAGUAUUCUCUAUGGCCAGUUAUCGUGACCCCGUACAACUUACCGCCGAGCUUGUGCAUGCGACGAGAGUUUUUGUUUCUCUCAAUUCUCGUCCCCGGUCCAGAUCAUCCUAAAAGAUCACUAGAUGUGUUUUUUCAACCACUGAUAUAUGAGUUGCAACAACUAUGGGCGCAUGGUUUUGAGACAUACGAUGUUUCGUGCAAAGAAAACUUUCAGAUGCGGGCAGUACUUAUGUGGACAAUAAGUGACUUUCCAGCAUAUGGUAUGUUAUCUGGAUGGACAACACAUGGGAGGCUAUCAUGUCCAUAUUGUCAAGAUGACACAGAUGCUUUCCAACUAAAGAACGGAAGGAAAACGUGUUGGUUUGACUGUCACAGACGAUUUCUACCACCUGAUCAUCCAUACCGCAGGAGUAAAACUUCGUUUACGAAGAACAAGCAGGUGUUUGAUUUAUCCACCUGAGGAAGUUAGUGGGGAAGAUUUGUUGAAGCAGUUUAGGGAUUUUGAUGCAGAAAGGACGCCAGAUGUAGGUGGACAUGAAAACAUUCGAGUCAGUGCGGUUGGAGAGCUACAUAACUGGCACAAAAAGAGUAUUUUCUGGGAUCUGCCAUAUUGGAAGACUCAUCUAUUGCGGCAUAAUUUAGAUGUCAUGCAUAUUGAGAAGAACUUCUUCGACAAUCUGAUGAACACAGUCCUUAACAUCCAAGGUAAAACGAAGGAUAAUUUGAAGUCAAGGUUGGAUUUAGUCGAUAUCUGUGAUCGUUCUGAACUUCACGUUGAUGAGAACGGUAUGGCCCCUUUUCCCAUUUAUCGGCUGGAUGGUGCUAGAAAAGAAGAGUUCUUUGAUUGGAUUACAGAUAAAGUGAAAUUUCCUGACGGAUAUGCAUCAAAUUUGGGGAACUGCGUUGAUAGAAGCGAAGGAAAGUUUAGUGGCUUGAAGAGUCAUGAUUGUCAUGUAAUUAUGCAGCGCCUCCUCCCGUUUGCUUUUUCAGCAUUAUUGCCACGUAAUGUUCAUGAAUCAAUUGCAGGGAUAAGUGUUUUCUUCCGCGACUUAUGCAGCAGAGUAGUGACUGAAGAGGGUAUUAAUAAUUUGAAGACAAACGCACCAGUCAGCAUGUGCAACCUUGAGAAGAUAUUUCCUCCAUCAUUCUUUGAUGUAAUGGAAUAUCUUGCUAUUCAUCUCGCAAGAGAAUUGGAACUUGGUGGUCCUGUGCAGUACAGAUGGAUGUAUAUUUUUGAGCGUUAUAUGCAUCAUCUGAAGAAGAUGGUCAAAAAUCAAAGCAGGGUGGAAGGAUCUAUAGUGGCACAUGUGAUCAAUGAAGAAACUGCAAUCUUUGCUGAAAAUUAUUUUCCACCAGAAGUGCAUACAAAACACCGAAGACCUGCUCGGCAUGAUGACAGAGGGGAGAGAGCAACAUAUCAUGUUACUGUCCCAAGCAUGUUCAAGGAAAUAGGAUGACUUAGUGGAAAAUUCACGAAGCGCAGACUUACGGACACUGAGCACGCUCAUUUGCAAACAUAUUUGCUCACCAACUGUGAAGAUGUUCUACAAUAUGAGAGUGUAUAUAUGGCGGAGUUGCGUAUGACUCACAGGCAUGCAACAGAAGAUGAGCUUCAACAACUUAGAGAUAACGGAUUUGCUGUGUGGCUUCGUAGUUAUGUGAGUCAUAUAUCAUAUUACCCUAUGCAAAUGAGUAGUUUAAAUUUAAUAUAAACUAAUUAACUUUUCACUCAUAUAUGUUUUUAAUUUGUAGGUGAAUGAUGGUUUGGCCAGAGGUUUUGUGUUCGAUGAUUGGAUACGCGAAUUUGUGCAGGGAUCAAACUAUGUGGUCAAAUCAUAUCCAAAAUUUUGUACGCGAGGAUAUGCAUUCACAAGGAAAGGUCAUUCUAAGACAACAUAUGAUGCUGGUGUUUCAUCUUCUUCCGGUGACGAUGUCUACUACGGCAACAUAAAAGAAAUAUUGGAAAUCCAAUUUCCUGGAAUGGUUGGAUUGCGUUGUGUAGUAUUCUAUUUUGAUUGGUAUGACACCACCCCAGAUAGAGGAGUGAAGAUUGAUGCGUUUGGUGUUACAUCAGUUCAUUCGCGGCGGAAACUUCAAUACUAUGAUCCCUUCAUUCUUGGUUCGCAAGCUGAUCAGGUAUGUCAAUCUAUUCAUAAUUUUUUACCAAUAUAAUUAAUUAAUGUUAUAUAUUUUACUAAUAUUUGUAUAAUUGAUAUGUAUAGGUGUGUUACAUCAGUUCCCCUCGGGUGACGUACAGAGAUGAUCCAUGGGUCACUGUAACGCAAAUCAACCCAAGAGGACGAAUGGAUGGAACUUCUGAUGAUGAUGAACCAUUGCAACCAGAGUCUACCAGCAACGCCCAGGCAGUUGAAGAUUUGGCAAAUGUUGAACUCGUUGAGGAUUUGACUGAGUUUGGACUUGAUGUUGUUGUACAUUCGGAGCCAGAAGCUGAGGUUGGGGAGUUUGAUGAAGAUUCAGAAGAUUCGGAUUAGUUUUUUUUUUUUUUUUUUUUCUAUUGGUCCGUCGGAAAUCCCUCGCAAAAUACCGACGAGAUAGCGACGACAAAGAGUUUCAUUAAAGUCUGGAAAUGUCCUCGGUAAUUCGUCGCAAUAUACCGACGACAUUCCGACGAACUCGCCUAGUUUGUCGGAAUGUCGUCGGUAUAUUCUGACGAAUUACCGAGGACAUGUGUUUUUAAAAAAUUUCCAACAUAAAAAUCUAUAAAUUUAUAU
RNA transcript from Brassica rapa (field mustard), 6607 nucleotides. RefSeq lists it as uncharacterized. Lineage: Eukaryota; Viridiplantae; Streptophyta; Magnoliopsida; Brassicales; Brassicaceae. The record is from RefSeq and is a predicted model, not a curated record.